GACCUGGUGGCUAUGGCGGGGGCUCCAAACCCGAUCCCAUCCCGAACUCGGCCGUCAAAACCCCCAGCGCCUAUGAUACUGCUCCUCGAUGAGUGGAAAAGUCGGUCGCCGCCAGGUCC
RNAcentral lists this ribosomal RNA (119 nucleotides) under Saccharibacter floricola. Lineage: Bacteria; Pseudomonadati; Pseudomonadota; Alphaproteobacteria; Acetobacterales; Acetobacteraceae. The record is from RNAcentral.